Molecule: ribosomal RNA, 484 nt
Filed under: uncultured bacterium
Lineage: Bacteria
Description: bacterial SSU rRNA
Rfam family: Bacterial small subunit ribosomal RNA
Source: RNAcentral
AUUGAACGCUGGCGGCAUGCCUUACACAUGCAAGUCGAACGGUAACGCGGGGCAACCUGGCGACGAGUGGCGAACGGGUGAGUAAUGCAUCGGAACGUGCCCAGUAGUGGGGGAUAGCCCGGCGAAAGCCGGAUUAAUACCGCAUACGACCUACGGGUGAAAGCGGGGGACUCGCAAGAGCCUCGCGCUAUUGGAGCGGCCGAUGUCAGAUUAGGUAGUUGGUGGGGUAAAAGCCUACCAAGCCGACGAUCUGUAGCUGGUCUGAGAGGACGACCAGCCACACUGGGACUGAGACACGGCCCAGACUCCUACGGGAGGCAGCAGUGGGGAAUUUUGGACAAUGGGCGCAAGCCUGAUCCAGCCAUGCCGCGUGCGGGAAGAAGGCCUUCGGGUUGUAAACCGCUUUUGUCAGGGAAGAAACGCUCUGGGCUAAUACCCUGGGGUAAUGACGGUACCUGAAGAAUAAGCACCGGCUAACUACGUG